Molecule: long non-coding RNA, 479 nt
Filed under: Marmota monax (woodchuck)
Lineage: Eukaryota; Metazoa; Chordata; Mammalia; Rodentia; Sciuridae
Source: RNAcentral
UCAGAGAAGCCAGGUCUGUGUAACUCCAGAGACUGAGUUCUUUGUCCCAAACCUGCUGCCCCAGAGUAUGAAGCCUUGUUCCCUAGAGACACCUUGUGUAUACUGGCAGUUUUGAGGGCCAGGGUGGUAUUUGGUUUUGUGGACAAAGUCUGGGCAGCCUCAAAGGUGCAGUAGCCAUGCUAGUCUUACUAGUGACAGGCGACUGAGUCAGUCUUCUCUCUGGAACCUGGGACAUUUCAGAGUCAUUGAAUCCCUACAUCAACUUAUUCCCUUCUUUUAUCAUGAAACCAGGAAUUGGGGGUGGGAACUUAAAAUAUAAUGGCAUACCCUAGCAUGUGUCAGGCAAUGGGCCAGGCAGUCUGCAUGAGUCCUUCCAUUCAAACCUCUUUCUUUCUAGGAGUCAGUUUUUGUUAUCAUCCCCAUUUUACAGGGCAGCAUGCCAACAAGGAGCUUAAGAUUCUUGCUCAAGACAAGUGGAG